Molecule: ribosomal RNA, 433 nt
Filed under: uncultured bacterium
Lineage: Bacteria
Description: partial 16S ribosomal RNA
Rfam family: Bacterial small subunit ribosomal RNA
Source: RNAcentral
AACGAACGCUGGCGGCAUGCCUAACACAUGCAAGUCGAACGGGACCUUCCGGCUUAUUGGGGCACCUGUGCGUACCGCCUGGUAAUUAGCCCUUGGGUUCGGUACCAUAGUCGGUAACGAAAGUUAAUACAGGUGGAUCAAGUAACUGCAAAGAUUUAUCGCCCAGGGGUGAGCCCGCGUAGGAUUAGCCGGUUGGUGGGGUAAAGGCCUACCAAGGCGACGAUCCUUAGCUGGUCUGAGAGGAUGAUCAGCCACACUGGGACUGAGACACGGCCCAGACUCCUACGGGAGGCAGCAGUGGGGAAUAUUGGACAAUGAGCGAAAGCCUGAUCCAGCAAUGCCGCGUGAGUGAUGAAGGCCUUAGGGUUGUAAAGCUCUUUUACCCGGGAUGAUAAUGACAGUACCGGGAGAAUAAGCCCCGGCUAACUCCGUG